Molecule: ribosomal RNA, 448 nt
Filed under: uncultured bacterium
Lineage: Bacteria
Description: bacterial SSU rRNA
Rfam family: Bacterial small subunit ribosomal RNA
Source: RNAcentral
AGCGAACGCUGGCGGCAGGCUUAACACAUGCAAGUCGAACGGGCGUAGCAAUACGUCAGUGGCAGACGGGUGAGUAACGCGUGGGAACGUACCUUUUGGCUCGGAACAACCCAGGGAAACUUGGGCUAAUACCGGAUAAGCCCUUACGGGAAAGAUUUAUCGCCAAAGAUCGGCCCGCGUCUGAUUAGCUAGUUGGUGAGGUAACGGCUCACCAAGGCGACGAUCAGUAGCUGGUCUGAGAGGAUGGCCAGCCACAUUGGGACUGAGACACGGCCCAAACUCCUACGGGAGGCAGCAGUGGGAAUCUUGCGCAAUGGGCGAAAGCCUGACGCAGCCAUGCCGCGUGGAUGAUGAAGGUCUUAGGAUUGUAAAAUCCUUUCACCGGGACGAUAAUGACGGUACCCGGAGAAGAAGCCCCGGCUAACUUCGUGCCAGCAGCCGCCGUAAU